This 453-nucleotide ribosomal RNA is filed under the name Hippolyte bifidirostris. Its description in RNAcentral is "partial 16S ribosomal RNA". It matches the Rfam family "Bacterial large subunit ribosomal RNA", at positions 1955 to 2625 of the family's 2925-position model. The record is from RNAcentral. Lineage: Eukaryota; Metazoa; Arthropoda; Malacostraca; Decapoda; Hippolytidae.
GGUAGCAUAAUCAAUAGUCUCUUAAUUGGGGACUGGAAUGAACGACGUGACGAAAAGUAAGCUGUCUUUAAUAUAAAGAUUGAAUUUUACUUUCAAGUGAAAAGGCUUGACUGGAAUUAAGGGACGAUAAGACCCUAUAAAACUUAACAUCGUUAACUUGUUUUUUAAAUUUAAUGUGAAAAAGGUAUCAGGUAACUGCUGUUUGGUUGGGGCGACUAAGAUAUAAUUAAAUAACUGUCUUUAGAUAAAAAUAAUGAUAAUUGAGCCUUUAUUAAGGAUUAAAAAAUUAAGUUACUUUAGGGAUAACAGCGUAAUUUUUUCUGAGAGUUCUUAUCGAAGAAAUUAGUUGCGACCUCGAUGUUGAAUUAAAAUUUCUUAUAAAUGUAGCAGUUUAAUAAGUAGGUCUGUUCGACCUUUAAAAUUUUACAUGAUUUGAGUUCAAACCGGUGUGAG